RNAcentral lists this ribosomal RNA (1558 nucleotides) under uncultured Parabasalia sp. RNAcentral describes it as "SSU rRNA". It matches the Rfam family "Eukaryotic small subunit ribosomal RNA". Lineage: Eukaryota; Parabasalia. The record is from RNAcentral.
UGAGGAUCCCGGUUGAUCCUGCCAAGGAAGCACACUUCAGUCAUAGAUUAAGCCAUGCAAGUCUUUGUUCAGGUAACGAAACCGCAGACAGCUCAUUAGUACACUUAUAACCUGCUAGAUUGCGACGAUUUGUCUUAAUAGGAUAGCUGCAGUAAUUCUGGAGCUAAUACUUGCUAUUGUAUCAAGGUAAGUGAAGUAAGAUGGUAAAGUUGACCCACGCGGGCAAGUCCAAUGGAUGAGUGUUCUAUCAGGCCCAACCGAGUGUCUUUCCCUUGGUGGCCAAUUACGGGUGACGGGCGAUUAUCGUCGGAUUGCCGGAGAAGGAGCCUGAGAGACAGCUACUAUGCCUACGGGCAGCAGCAGGCGCGAAACUUACCCACUCGACGCGGUCGGAGGUGGUAAUGACCAGUUCCAACACUGGUCUUCGGACCAUAUUGGAUAGAUUGGCUUUUUAAAGUUGUCAAACAAUCUAGCAGAGGGCCAGUCUGGUGCCAGCAGCUGCGGUAAUUCCAGCUCUGCGAGUUUGCUCCCAUAUUGUUGCAGUUAAAACGCCCGUAGUCAGAGGUCUUUACAGGGAAGGACAAGACCGUCCACCGCGAAUAAAACAGGAUGCUUAGGGUAGCUUUUGUUGAAUGUUUAAGCGCGGUCUGGAAUAUUUACCUAUUUAGGGUAAGGUCAAAGAGAGCCAAAGGGGGUGGUCGUAUUCCGUGGCGAGCGGUGGAAUGCUCUGACCCAUGGGAGACGAACGAAAGCGAAAGCAGCCACCUAUAGGGUUUCUGUCGAUCAAGGGCGAGAGUAGGGGUAGCGAACCGGAUUAGAGACCCGGGUAGUCCCUACUGUAAACGAUGUCGACAAGGGGUUAUCCGUGCAAGGGUAGUACCUGUUGAGAAAUCGUAGUUAGUGGACUCUGGGGGAACUACGAUCGCAAGACUGAAACUUGAAGGAAUUGACGGAAGGGCACACAAGGGGUGGAGCCUGUGGCUCAAUUUGAAUCAACACGGGGAAACUUACCAGGACCAGAUGAUUUGGUGACUGACCGUCUAAAGGGCAUUCAGGAAGGAUUUUUGGGUGGUGCAUGGCCGUUGGUGGUGCGUGGGUUGACCUGUCAUUCGUUGAUUCAGGUAACGAGCGAGACUACCGCCGUCUACUAUUUGGGGCUUAUUUCUAUAGGCUGCAGAUCUAGGGGGUACAGCUCGGUCUCAACCGAGAGGAAGGAGGUAGCAAUAACAGGUCCGUGAUGUCCUUUAGAUGCCCUGGGCUGCACGCGUGCUACAGUGAGUUUGAUAAAGAGAAGCGAACUUGAGAAGGGGAGCUACUCACUAAUCAAACCCGUGGUUGGGAUUGAGGUUUGUAAUGAGCCUCAUGAACCAGGAAUCCCUUGUAAGCGUGUGUCAACAGCGCACGUUGAAUACGUCCCUGCCCUUUGUACACACCGCCCGUCGCUCCUACCGAUUGGAUGACCUGGUGAAAACAUCGGACUUUUAGGAAGGUGCUUAAAUCAUGUUAUCUAGAGGAAGGAGAAGUCGUAACAAGGUAACGGUAGGUGAACCUGCAGCAG